This 515-nucleotide ribosomal RNA is filed under the name uncultured bacterium. RNAcentral describes it as "bacterial SSU rRNA". It matches the Rfam family "Bacterial small subunit ribosomal RNA", at positions 28 to 517 of the family's 1533-position model. The record is from RNAcentral.
GACGAACGCUGGCGGCGUGCUUAACACAUGCAAGUCGAACGGAGAUUAUUAAUGAAGCUUGCGAUUUAAUAAUCUUAGUGGCGGACGGGUGAGUAACGCGUGGGCAACCUACCCAUAAGAGGGGGAUAACAGCUGGAAACGGCUGCUAAUACCGCAUAAACUUUUUAAGACACAUGUUUUAGAAAGGAAAGGUGGCGCAAGCUAUCGCUUAUGGAUGGGCCCGCGUCUGAUUAGCUAGUUGGUGGGGUAACAGCCUACCAAGGCAACGAUCAGUAGCCGGCCUGAGAGGGUGGACGGCCACACUGGGACUGAGACACGGCCCAGACUCCUACGGGAGGCAGCAGUGGGGAAUAUUGCGCAAUGGGGGAAACCCUGACGCAGCGACGCCGCGUGAGCGAAGAAGGCCUUAGGGUUGUAAAGCUCUGUUCUAUGGGACGAAGUCCUUGACUGUAAAUAAUGGUCAAGGUUGACGGUACCAUAGGAGGAAGCCCCGGCUAACUACGUGCCAGCAGCCG